Oreochromis aureus is the source of this 55-nucleotide microRNA precursor. Lineage: Eukaryota; Metazoa; Chordata; Actinopteri; Cichliformes; Cichlidae. The record is from Ensembl.
ACUGUCAGGGAGCUCAAUGCACUUCUGCUAUAUUUGCAUUGAUUUACUGACAAAG